CAGUCGCCGCGGUAAUACGUAGGGUGCGAGCGUUAAUCGGAAUUACUGGGCGUAGAGCGUGCGCAGGCGGUUCGUUAAGACAGAUGUGAAAUCCCCGGGCUCAACCUGGGACCUGCAUUUGUGACUGUAUAGCUAGAGUACGGUAGAGGGGGAUGGAAUUCCGCGUGUAGCAGUGAAAUGCGUAGAUAUGCGGAGGAACAUCGAUUGCGAAGGCAAUCCCCUGGACCUGUACUGACGCUCAUGCACGAAAGCGUGGGGAGCAAACAGGAUUAGAUACCCGCGUAGUCCCUGUCUCUUAUAC
Molecule: ribosomal RNA, 301 nt
Filed under: uncultured bacterium
Lineage: Bacteria
Description: partial 16S ribosomal RNA
Rfam family: Bacterial small subunit ribosomal RNA
Source: RNAcentral